UACAGAGGGUGCGAGCGUUAAUCGGAAUUACUGGGCGUAAAGCGCACGUAGGUGGCGACGUAAGUCGGAUGUGAAAUCCCCUGGCUCAACUGGGGGGCGUCAUUCGAUACUGCUCGACUUGAAGGCAGGAGAGGGAAGCGGAAUUCCCGGUGUGUGGUGAAAUGCGUAGAUAUCGGGAGGAACACCAGUGGCGAAGGCGGCUUCCUGGCCUGUUCUUGACGCUGAGGCGCGAAAGCCAGGGGAGCAAACGGGAUUAGAAACCCGUGUAGU
RNAcentral lists this ribosomal RNA (270 nucleotides) under uncultured bacterium. Its description in RNAcentral is "partial 16S ribosomal RNA". It matches the Rfam family "Bacterial small subunit ribosomal RNA", at positions 524 to 794 of the family's 1533-position model. The record is from RNAcentral.